Camelus dromedarius (Arabian camel) is the source of this 3204-nucleotide long non-coding RNA. RefSeq lists it as uncharacterized. The record is from RefSeq and is a predicted model, not a curated record. The transcript is spliced from 4 exons. NCBI's taxonomy places the organism in Eukaryota, Metazoa, Chordata, Mammalia, Artiodactyla, Camelidae.
GUUUUCUCGCUCUCGCAACCCUGCUUUAACUGCCGGUUUAUUUUUCGACAAACAGGAUGCCUCCAUCUGAGGCUGUCAGCAUCCCAGGCUCUUUGAGAGAAAAGAGGUAGUGCAGCCCCACCCUAGAGGCAAGGCCGGGGGCUCGGUUUCAAGAGGCUUCCCAGAGAAGCGGCACCCCUGCAGGUGCGGCCGCUGGGAGAACAUCAAGAAGGGCGAGGAGGCAGGAGGGAGUGAAACCGGCCGUGCCCGCCACCCCCCACCCCGCCCUGCAACUGAUUCCGCUGCCGCCGCUCUGCACGCCUCCCCAGGCAGAGCGGCUCCAAUUGUGGGGGACAGCUUGGAGAUCUAGGACAGUGCUCCCCGAAUGUUAAUGUGCACGCAGAUCACCUGAAGCUCCCGUGAAAAUGCAGACUCUAAAUCCGCGGAUCUCGGACGGGGCCUGAGAGUCUGCUCUUCUAUCAAGUUCCCAGUGAUGCUGCAGCUGCUGGUCCAAAGACCACGCUUUGAAUGGCCAGAUUUUUGAGAGUCUUCAUGAAAGAUAUGCUGAUCAUCCCUUUAUGAUACAGUUCCAGUACAUCCCUUCAAACACAGUUUUAAAAGAGGCUGUGUGCUCUUUAUAAAAAAAAGUGGACGAGAGAGAAGAGGCUGUUUUGAAGCAACUCCCACUGCUUCUUUGUAUUGUCUGGACUCCGAUCUGACCUGUGGUGGAGCCCAAGGAGAAAAGAAAGGAACUUUCUGCAACUCUGUGGUAAUUCGCUGUAGAAUCAUCAGAUGAAAAAUGCCUUUUAUACAAAUAAGGGUAAAGAGAGAAAAAGAAAACCUCAAACCCACCUACUUGAAAAAAGGCCUCGUAAUGACGUCAGAGGACGGGUGACGUGGACUUCUGAAAUUACAGAAGUUUCUGCAGAAGGACAGAGCAUCCUGGCCAGGUGAGUGGGCCUCUAGCUUUGCAGCUCUGGCGUGCGGGGUCCGGCUGGCGGGAGGCAGUCCAGCCACUUUUGCUAUACAGCUGAAUCAGCCGUUUCUGGGUGGAAUUUUUAUCCCAACCACAGGAAGAGUUGGAUGUGAGUGUCUGCUGGGAGCCUCACUGAAAACCUGGCUGGAGUCAGGGUCCUGACGGGCUGGCUCCCUGGGACUCCAUGGCUUCCUGAAGGGUGGACCUGGGUGCUAGGCCCCUGAUUACUGGGCAGAUCAUUCCAUGGGUUCUUCUGUACGUGGGUCCCGGACACGGACCAGGAUGGGGCAAGAGAGGCACCCAGGAUGUGCAAUUUAAGAAGGUGUUGUCUCUCCUGUUUGUGCAAGUGCAGGAUCAGCCUGACAUUACUCCAAGAGUGAUCAUCUCUUUAAGGUAUUUUUCCAGGAAGUGCCUCGCUGAAUCAAACUAGUCCUUCCCCAGAUAGACUGCCAGACUGCUAAGUGCACAACUAGGUGGUUGGGAAGAAAGACUUAAUAAUGGUCUCCCCCAGCCAGCAGCUCACCAUCAUCUUGGGAACAGGUGAGUCUGAUUUCCACUGAAGUGUGUGCACUGCCGGUUUAGAGAAGCAUCCGCUGUGGGCAACCCCGGAACCACCAGAAUGUCUCCCUUGGGGUGAAGCUCUGAUGGGGAGGGGCCGUGAGGAUUAAACUAGUGGGCAGGGGAGGCAUUGACACUGACAGUGGGGACCUAAAACGACCACAUGCAUCCAGAAGCAGGCAAGCGGUUCGGGAUGGUGGACUUAACAGUGGACAGUGGCCCUGGUUUGAGGCCACCUGAGGUUCAGCCCCCCACAGUGUCACCUGCUUUCCGGGGGCCUUGGCAAGUCCCUGACUCCAUAAAGCUCAGCUUUCUUGUGUGUCAGACUGAGAGAAUGGCAACACCCACUGUCCUCCCUGCACAGGCGGUAGGCUCUGCAGGGCAAACCCCUUCAUUCAGACCUGGCUCCCCCCUCCCCUAGCAGCCUAACUUCAGGCAGGUUACCUAAUCUCUGCAUGCCCUGCUCCCCUCAAUAAAAUAGGAUUAGAAAAGAGAGUAGCUACUCCUGGGUUUGUGCGAAAGAUUUAAGGAGGUCAUGCAAGAAAGUGCUUGGCAGGGUCAGUACGGGGCGCUUGGCACAUGCUCAGUAUAUGCUAGCUGUCACUGCGAUCAGCUUUAAAAAUUCACAACUCAGCCAUCGGCCGAGGCGCACUCAGACCACGUCUGCACUGCUGCGUAGUGGGGGGUAGACCCAGUUCUGCAUCCUGCCCUGGGCUGGCUCCUGGCUCAGCUAUGGGGCUGUGUGCUGGGCCAGCAGGGCUCACUUCCCUGCCCACUCUGCUCUAUACACCUUCAGUGGAAUUUUCCAGUUGCCGUUACUUACUGACUUCCUCUAUGUGUCCCUUGCUUCCUAUGUAUUAUCUCUAACCCUUUCGACAGCCAUCCAAAGUAGGGAUUGUUGCACCCACUUUCCAGAGCCCCUUGCCCUAAAGAUGGAAUAGAAACCGACCUCCUGACUCCAAAGCACUGGGCUCCCCACUCUCCUGCUGGCUGAUCAGGCCCAUCCUUCCCCUUGGCCUCCCCAUCACAGACAGCUCCCAGGGAAGGACCUGGUGCUCAAGAACACACGCCUUCUUCUGGAGUGGAGUUUAUACUUCAGCACCCAUGGGAGCAUCCCGGUGAAGGGCUCAGGUCCCUGCUGAUGGCAGCUGAGCCCCCAGUGAGCAAGACACGAAAUGUGCAGGCCUGGGGACUUCCUGAUUUAAACGGAGGUAUUCAUGAAGAGGAAGGAAAAACACAUCGCAGCUUGCCUUUUUAGUUUUUAUCUUGUUUUAAUUUCUAAUUUUGGCACGUGUUUUACACUGUACACACUGAUUACAUCGGAACAGCAGCACAGGCAUGUAAACGAUAAAUGUAUAACUCGGCCUAGGUUUGGGGGCAUGUGCGGUGAGUUUUCCUUCUAUUUGGCACGAUCACAGGAAUUUGGAAAUUACUGUCUUUUUUUUUUUUUCCCAAGAAAAACAAUUGACAGUAUUUAUUGCCAUUGAGAAAAUUUGAGCUUUCAAGUGAAAAUUUGAAUUUUGUAGAACUUGUUUCUGCUACUGGGAGCUUAAGAGCAGACUGGUAUUUCAACACAUUUGCUGAGGAGAUUGACGGUGAUGUUAACAAAGAUGAUUUCCUAAUAUUCUGUACUGAAAUGUAUUGACAUUUGGAAGAUCUGCACAACUCAGUAAACCAGUAUUUGGAAAUUA